UCAUUGUCACUCUAGUCUUUGUAGGGUUCCCGAAAGGACUUUCCUGGUGACUAGGAGCUUCCGCCCAUCUGAACUUCACUUCCUGUUUGCCUCAGACCUGCGAUAGUGGGCUGCUACAAUGUGCUAGAGAGUGAGGCAGCUGGGUGGGGGGUGGGCGUGGGUGGCAGGGACCAGUGGGACUGGGCGUGGUCACAGUUCAGGUCCUGUGAGGUGGACAAAUUAAUUCUCCUUGAGGGAUUCUCUUUCUAUUGCCAUUUUGAGAUUUGAGGGACAUUGUUUGCAGGCAGGGUCACACACGUACUCUGUCUUUCUAGGGAAGGCUGUUUGCUGCUCAGAGCUGACUAUUUGAUGGAAUGAGGUGUCAAUCCCACAGCCCCACCCACCCAGCCUUUCCAGCCCUAACACCUCCCAGAGAGCCCGAGGCCCUGGCACCUACUUUUAUGGAUAGCACAGAACACAAAUUGAAAACCAUGAGCUAUGAUCUUGAAGAGCUCUGCCAGCCUUAGGUUAGGAGAAGACUCCAAGCCUGCCGAGAUACAAAUGCUGAGGCUGUCGCUGACAAUCUCAGCGGACCUGACUCCUGCCCAGAGAUGGAGGAUAAAUCCAGCGAAAGAAGGAAAAGACCCGGACUCCUGCGGUAAUGAUGUGUCAGUGCGGCCUUUCGGGUCACGUGACUCAUCAGGACAGAGUGGGAGCUGAGUGACAGAUGAAAUGGCCGAGCAAACCCAAGGUCUGGACUGAUCUACAAGGCACAGCCUUAGGAGGUGCACCAUGCAGACAGAAGAACAAACUCCCAGCCGGGGCAGUUGCAGGGAGAACCCGCACAUUUACGAACGAUGAAGGACACUAGAGGAUCCAAAGUAAACGACCAAGAAACCAUCGAACCACCCAAACCUACAAAACGAGAGUCGGAGGGAGGGGGGAUAGGAGGAGCCUAGACCGGAAGCCAAUGGAAUCAUGGGUACUGUGGUCAGGCGUGAGCUGGAGAGCAUUGUUCUAAGGAAGGCAUCGGGAAGGGCUGAAGAUGCUGAGGAAUGCACAAGUGAGGCCCCAAGGGUCACAGCUGUCACAGCCUCUGAUGCUGCUCAUCGCGGCUUUGUCGCCUGACCGGAGGACCUCAAGAGCGCGCUCCUUACAUGCACCUGUGCGUGGUUUUGACAGCUGUGGAAGGCGCAUCUCCUUUCGACCCAACCUUUAACUUUUUGUUUCUGACCUUUUUGUUGUGCCUGUGGUGACAACAUGUGUUGCUUAAUGAGCCAUUUUAAAGUGCACACAGCUCAGGGGCAUGUAGUAUGUUCACCGUGUGUGCAGCCACCAAUUCUCUGGUUAUACAACAUUUUUUUUUUUUUAGAGACAAAAGACCCAACGUGAAGGACGUAAGGAGGAUUUAUUUUGACUCCUGGUUUUGGUGGUUUCAGAUCACAGUUCUUAUCUCUAUUAAUUCUGGACCAUGAACCUGAAAGGAAGGCAGAAGGCAGAGCACCUGGCUUCAGUGGAGAUGCGGGCAAAGCAGAUGGCUACAUGGUCAGCCUGGUGGAGAAGCUGGAGGUGAGUCCUGCCGUGAGGGCUCAGGAGUCUGCACAGAAGAGCUGGGCACACGGGCAUGAUUUGAACAGGGUCUCCAAGGGAGAAUGUAAAGGGGAGAAUUGUUCUGAGCAGGGCAUCUGUAUGUGCAAAGGCACUGAGCCACCACCGCUGUGGGUGUGGCACAUCUAGAACAUCUGGAGGGGAGAUCCCGCCAGUGUGCAUGAGGAAGAAAGGAAGCGACUGAGUUACAAGGUGGUACCCAAGAGAGGCAGCCUUCCACUGUGUACUGUGGGAUGAAGACAUUCCCUGACAGCCAGUGAGUGUCCAUAAGUGUCUGCCUCAUGGACCAUGCAUCCUGGGCCCUGCCGGGCUAUCCCUCUCAGCCACCCACCUGGUACUGCCCUCCUUCUCUGCCUUCUUGACCAGGUCAUGCGAUAUUGAUAAUGAGGAAGAGAGAAGGGGGUGGUUUCUGGGAGCGACCUAUGAGAACUGAGCCUAGUGGGCAGUGGCCUGGGCCUGGGGAUAUGGCAACUUCCUGAGCAGACUUGGCUUGCCCAGAAAGGGAUGGACCUGACUCAGCUCCGUUCUCACAGCCUCACCCCAGACAGGAACAAGCGCUGUGCUGUCUGUCACCUUUUAUUACAAAACCUUCUGAAAUUCUCCAAAUCGUCUCGCCGGUUAUCGUGUUCAACCACAGUGUGCUUGCAGGAGCCUCGAGCUGGAACCACAAGGCAGCCACAGUGCGUCGGGGACUUCUGUUCUGUGCCCAGGAGGGCCCCCCUCCUUUCUCCUCCCCAC
Long non-coding RNA from Mus musculus (house mouse), 2325 nucleotides. RefSeq annotates it as predicted gene, 33699. The transcript is spliced from 5 exons. The record is from RefSeq and is a predicted model, not a curated record. Lineage: Eukaryota; Metazoa; Chordata; Mammalia; Rodentia; Muridae.